Molecule: RNA transcript, 803 nt
Organism: Magnolia sinica
Lineage: Eukaryota; Viridiplantae; Streptophyta; Magnoliopsida; Magnoliales; Magnoliaceae
Gene name: oxysterol-binding protein-related protein 3C-like
Exons: 5
Source: RefSeq, a predicted model, not a curated record
GUUGUGGAACACAAGUUUGAUGCACAUUUCUUUUUAUAAUUGCUGCUCAUAAUUUUCAUGACAAUGACAUUGAUCUGUUUGCUCUUUCAUUUUUCUCUUUCUUUUUUGAUGAAUGUCUUUUUGCUUUUUAUUUUUUUUGUUUCGAAUCUUCUUUGCGUCUCUUACAGGAUCGCGAUAGUUAUUGGAAGAUGAUGCAGAAAUAUAUAGGUUCAGAUGUUACAUCAAUGGUGACGCUUCCAAUUCUUAUAUUUGAGUCCAUGACAAUGAUUCAGAAAGUGGCAGAGAUGCUGGAGUACUCCCACUUGUUAGACCUGGCUGAUGAAUGUGAGGAUCCCUACAUGCGGAUGGUCUAUGCUACAUCAUGGGCAAUAUCUGUUUACUAUGCCUAUCAACGAACCUGGAAGCCCUUCAAUCCCAUCCUUGGUGAGAUUUAUGAAAUGGUUAAUCAUGGUGGCAUUACAUUCCUUGCGGAGUAGGUGAGUUAUCAUCCUCCAAUGAGCGCGAGGCAUGCAGAAAAUGAUCAUUUUACCUAUGACGUGACAUCCAAGUUAAAGACCAAAUUUCUGGGAAACUCCAUUGAUGUGAUUCGGUCCUUCUAAAUGCACAUUAGGUAUAUUGGAACAAACGGUGAGAUUGAUGAAUGAAUGGUGGCCCACUUCAUGUUAUCUUUAUAUCAAAAUUCUCACUAGUUACUUGUGGCGGAGGAUGAUGAUCUAGCCAAGUUUUCAAUGGUGACUUUAAGAUGGUCUAUCAAGGCCAGAUUGUGAUCACUGGUUUUGUCAUGUUCGCUUCUAACUCACUGC